UGUGUGAUAGCUGGGUCAAAUGGUGAUUCCAUUCCAAUUUUUCUAAGUAAUCUCCAUACUGUUUUUCAGAGUGGUUGCACCAAUUUGCAGUCCUACCAGCAAU
Molecule: microRNA precursor, 103 nt
Filed under: Marmota monax (woodchuck)
Lineage: Eukaryota; Metazoa; Chordata; Mammalia; Rodentia; Sciuridae
Source: RNAcentral